CAGCCGCCGCGGGAACACGAAGGGGGCUAGCGUUGCUCGGAAUUACUGGGCGUAAAGCGUGCGUAGGCGGUGAGUUAAGUCUGCUGUGAAAUCCCCGGGCUCAACCUGGGAAUGGCAGUGGAUACUGGCUCGCUAGAGUGUGUCAGAGGAUGGUGGAAUUCCCGGUGUAGCGGUGAAAUGCGUAGAGAUCGGGAGGAACAUCAGUGGCGAAGGCGGCCAUCUGGGACAACACUGACGCUGAGGCACGAAAGCGUGGGGAGCAAACAGGAUUAGAUACCCCAAUAGUCCCUGUCUCUUAUAC
RNAcentral lists this ribosomal RNA (301 nucleotides) under uncultured bacterium. Its description in RNAcentral is "partial 16S ribosomal RNA". It matches the Rfam family "Bacterial small subunit ribosomal RNA", at positions 509 to 807 of the family's 1533-position model. The record is from RNAcentral.